GGGACUGUGGCUUAGUGGUAGAGUGCUUGCCUAGCAUUCAUGAGGCCCUGGGUUCAAAUCCCCAGCACCA
Molecule: transfer RNA, 70 nt
Filed under: Dipodomys ordii (Ord's kangaroo rat)
Lineage: Eukaryota; Metazoa; Chordata; Mammalia; Rodentia; Heteromyidae
Rfam family: tRNA
About the family: Transfer RNA (tRNA) molecules are approximately 80 nucleotides in length. Their secondary structure includes four short double-helical elements and three loops (D, anti-codon, and T loops).
Source: Rfam by way of RNAcentral